UGGGGAAUCUUCCGCAAUGGACGAAAGUCUGACGGAGCAACGCCGCGUGAGUGAAGAAGGCCUUCGGGUUGUAAAGCUCUGUUAUUCGGGAAGAACGAUUCGUUUGUGAACAAUGAACGGAAGUGACGGUACCGAAAGAGAAAGCCACGGCUAACUACGUGCCAGCAGCCGCGGUAAUACGUAGGUGGCAAGCGUUGUCCGGAAUUAUUGGGCGUAAAGAGCGCGUAGGCGGUAUGAUAAGUCUGUCUUAGAAGUGCGGGGCUUAACACCGGGAGGGGACAGAGACUGUCAUACUAGAGUCACGGAGAGGAAAGAGGAAUUCCUAGUGUGGCGGUGAAAUGCGUAGAGAUUAGGAAGAACACCGGUGGCGAAGGCGGCUUUCUGGACGAGCACUGACGCUGAGGCGCGAAAGCGUGGGGAGCGAACAGG
This 429-nucleotide ribosomal RNA is filed under the name bacterium. Its description in RNAcentral is "partial 16S ribosomal RNA". It matches the Rfam family "Bacterial small subunit ribosomal RNA", at positions 355 to 776 of the family's 1533-position model. The record is from RNAcentral.